This 615-nucleotide long non-coding RNA is filed under the name Bos taurus (domestic cattle). Its description in RNAcentral is "long non-coding RNA NONBTAT017344". Lineage: Eukaryota; Metazoa; Chordata; Mammalia; Artiodactyla; Bovidae. The record is from RNAcentral.
GAGGCCACCAAGGUGCCUAAGGCAGCACCAACUCAAGAGUAUCCCAAGGUACCUGGGCUACCUGGAGCCAGCAAGCAUUCCCAGGCACCCAAAUCUACUGAAAACGUCUGUGUCUGCCAUGCUAAGGGUCUUCUGGCUCAGAUCUGGGAGAAAAGCUGAAGGCAGCUAUGGAUGCUGGAAAACUGAUGAGUGAUGAAACGGCCACGGAGCUCACUGAGAACUGGGAGAUCUCUCCAUGCAGAAAUAGUAUUCUUCUAGAUGGCUUCUCUCAGACUGUGAGGCAGGCAGAAAGGCUUGGUGACCUCAUGGAGAAGAGGAAAGAGAAGCUUGAUUCUGUGCUUGAGUUCAGCAUCCCAGGCUCUCUGCUGAUCCAGAGACUCACAGGAAGGCCCCCAGAAUGGCCAUUCAUACACAAGAAGUUCAAUCCCCUAAAGGCGUCCAUGAAAGAUGGUAUCACAGAGGAACCCUUGAUCUGCCAAUCAGAUGAUAAUAAAAAGGCCUUGAAAAUCCACCCUGACACCUAUCACACUGACCACCCAUUGGUGGAAUAAGACAGUAAAGGGGCUCCACUCUGCCAUCCAUGCAUCCCAGACCCGUGAUGUCCUGUUUGCAGCA